This 447-nucleotide ribosomal RNA is filed under the name uncultured bacterium. RNAcentral's name for it is "bacterial SSU rRNA". It matches the Rfam family "Bacterial small subunit ribosomal RNA", at positions 458 to 907 of the family's 1533-position model. The record is from RNAcentral.
UUCUUAUGUGGUUGACGGUACCAGAGGAAUAAGCACCGGCUAACUCCGUGCCAGCAGCCGCGGUAAUACGGAGGGUGCAAGCGUUAUCCGGAUUCACUGGGUUUAAAGGGUGCGUAGGCGGGUAAGUAAGUCCGUGGUGAAAUCUCUGAGCUUAACUCAGAAACUGCCGUGGAUACUAUUUGNCUUGAAUAUUGUGGAGGUGAGCGGAAUAUGUCAUGUAGCGGUGAAAUGCUUAGAUAUGACAUAGAACACCAAUUGCGAAGGCAGCUCACUACACAAUCAUUGACGCUGAGGCACGAAAGCGUGGGGAUCAAACAGGAUUAGAUACCCUGGUAGUCCACGCCCUAAACGAUGAUUACUCGACAUCAGCGAUACACUGUUGGUGUCUGAGCGAAAGCAUUAAGUAAUCCACCUGGGAAGUACGAUCGCAAGAUUGAAACUCAAAGG